This 1488-nucleotide long non-coding RNA is filed under the name Bemisia tabaci. Its description in RNAcentral is "lncRNA ENSSSA2NGG011416". The record is from RNAcentral. Lineage: Eukaryota; Metazoa; Arthropoda; Insecta; Hemiptera; Aleyrodidae.
CCAAAAAGGGAGGUUCGAGUAUGCGCCUUUUGCCUUUCCACCUUCUCCUUCUCAGUCCCAUUCUAAUCCGGGCCACGCAACUAUUAUUACUUAGCGGUCAUGCCGUAGGUAUGCUUUUUUUUUACCUAGUGUGCGCUUCCUGAGUCGAACCUUCAGUAAAAGCCGAAAAUUAUUAUCAAUUUUUCCGCUUGGACGUUUUUCAAUCAAAGCCUCUAGAAAGGUAUCUAUUUCCUCAGCGGUUUGAUUCGACUGACUGUGUUUCUCCUCCGAAAUAGAAAUCAUCAGGAAGCUAAUCUCCAUGGACGAAUUGUGAUUACCUACUGGCGAGAUCACUGACAGAAUGAUGAAUAAGGCUUCCGGGUUCGAUGAAAUAAAAGGCACCUGAAGUACCUUCAGAUACCGAGAUUUUCUUAGCUGGUAUAACUUGCUCUCCUCAUAUUCCAGUCUACUUAAUCGAACAAUGGUUGGCUGCUAGAUUUUUUCUUCUGAUAUCAAUCAUUCUCUGCUAUCGCAAUGGAUUUUGAGGAUCGCAUUCCCAAAUUAAUGGAGGAGCUUCAAGGGCAGCCGUGGUCCAAUCUGAGGACAAAGUUGGACGAUCUUUUGGAAGAUUUUCCAGAUGAAGAGAAAUCUGACAACAGAAGACUGAUAGAGACUAGAUGCGGGAAGCUAGAUAAAGCCGAUGUUGCUAUCUACGGUUGUUGUCCUGAGUUGGAAGAGUUAGUCGUUGUUCAAUGUAGAAUAUGCUCAAAAAUAGUCAAAGCUGAAGCAAUAGAAUAUCAUUAUGAAACAUGUCAUGAAGAGGCGCAUAAAUUAGUGGUUAAAGCAGUGGAAGAAAAGUGCACAUCCACGGCAGAAUUGAAGCAACUUCAAGAAACGCUCUCUACUUUUUCCGUUAAGCCUGCCACUACUGUGAAACCAGGGAAGCAGACUCCAUCGGGAAAAUCUACUAGCUUAAAAACUCCUGUUUCAAAAUCUAAAACGAAAUCGAAAAAACUGGUUAUUGAUCCAGUUGUCCCUUCCUCCUCCAAAGCCUUGUUCCCUCCUUCGCCGCAGUCAAAACCGAGUACCUCUCAAAGCAAGCUCCCCAUACCUGUGGCAAACUCACCUCAAAGUCAAAAGAACACUGUGAUACUCGAAGUAGAAAACCCAAAUUAGAGCCAGUCAUUUCACUCGUCAAGAUUGACGGCAAAGACGGGAGUACUGAGAAUGAAACCCCUCUGUCACCACCUCAACUGACACCGCAAGUCCAUGUUGCGCCUCCUGUCAUCCCUCCAACUAGUUCACACAUCAAAAUCCAGUCUAAAUCAAAGCCAUUGCGAAAUCGGAGCAGCAAUGGUGUCAACAGCACCACCGUCAUCCCUAACAUCAUUAGCCCAACAAAUAAUGUCGUCAGCAGUGUGACCAGCCCUAGUCCAAAGGUGGAAAUAGACUUAGACAAGCAUUGUGGUGUAGAAACAGAUGGUGUACAAUGUGCGCAGCUAUUAUCAU